AUAUCAAAUAAGCGGAGGAAAAAGAAACCAACAGGGAUUGCCUCAGUAACGGCGAGUGAAGCGGCAAAAGCUCAAAUUUGAAAAUCUGGCUUCUUUGGAGCCCGAGUUUGUAAUUUUGUAGAGGACGUUUCGGGUACCGCAACGGCUUAAAUUUCUUGGAACAGAAUGUCAGAGAGGGUGAGAGUCCCGUCUGGAGCCGCGGUAGGGCCCAUGUGAAAACUCCCUCGACGAGUCGAGUUGUUUUGGGAAUGCAGCUCAAAAAUGGGUGGUAAAUUUCAUCUAAAGCUAAAUAUUGGCCAGAGACCGAUAGCGCACAAGUAGAGUGAUCGAAAGAUGAAAAGAACUUUGAAAAGAGAGUUAAACAGUAC
This 368-nucleotide ribosomal RNA is filed under the name uncultured fungus. Its description in RNAcentral is "eukaryotic LSU rRNA". It matches the Rfam family "Eukaryotic large subunit ribosomal RNA", at positions 40 to 398 of the family's 3401-position model. Lineage: Eukaryota; Fungi. The record is from RNAcentral.